RNAcentral lists this ribosomal RNA (492 nucleotides) under uncultured bacterium. Its description in RNAcentral is "partial 16S ribosomal RNA". It matches the Rfam family "Bacterial small subunit ribosomal RNA", at positions 29 to 507 of the family's 1533-position model. The record is from RNAcentral.
AGUGAACGCUGGCUGUAGGCCUAACAUAUUCAACUUGAACGGCAGCACAGUAAGAGCUUGCUCUUACGUGUGGCGAGUCGCGGACGGGUGAGGAAUACAUCGUAAUCUACUUUUUCGGGGGGGAUAACGUAUGGAAACUUACGCUAAUACCGCAUACGACCUACGGGUGAAAGCAGGGGAUCUUCGCACCUUGCUCGAAUGAAUACGCCGAUGCCGGAUUAGCUAGUUGGCUGGGUAAAGGCGCACCAAGGCGACGAUCCGUAGCUGGUCUGAGAGGAUGAUCAGCCACACUGGAACUGAGACACGGUCCAGACUCCUACGGGAGGCAGCAGUGGGGAAUAUUGGACAAUGGGCGCAAGCCUGAUCCAGCCAUACCGCGUGGGUGAAGAAGGCCUUCGGGUUGUAAAGCCCUUUUGUUGGGAAAGAAAAGCAGCAGGUUAAUACCCCGCUGUUCUGACGGUACCCAAAGAAUAAGCACCGGCUAACUUCGUG